UCAUUCACAAUGUUUUGACUAUUUUACCGAAAAAGAGCGAAUGUUUCAAUUUUCCAACCUAAGUCAUUUAUUUGAUGUUAUAAUUACAAUUAUUAACGUCUUGUUAAAACAUGUGAACACAACGAUCCGAGAAUAUGCAAGCAGCCAUCAAUCUCUUUCACUAAAAUUGGUUGAUAAUGGAUUCAGAAUUCAGGACACUCUAUGUCUGUCUGUUACAGCAUCUGUCUCAUUUGUAUAACAAUCACUUUUUUUUGGUUUGUCGUUCCACUAUUAUUCCGUACAUACCAUAAUUUGACAAUGUUCGUUAUUUUGCAAAUGUGAGCUACACUACUAAACGAAAACCAUAUAUGAUAUUAAACUUAAAAAACGAUAUUUAAACAAUA
This is a long non-coding RNA of Dermatophagoides pteronyssinus (European house dust mite), 383 nucleotides long. NCBI's taxonomy places the organism in Eukaryota, Metazoa, Arthropoda, Arachnida, Sarcoptiformes, Pyroglyphidae. The record is from RefSeq and is a predicted model, not a curated record.